GCCGUGGUGGUGAAAUUGGUAGACACGCUAGCUUGAGGGGCUAGUCCUCUAAUUUUUGAGGGUGGAGGUUCAAGUCCUCUCCACGGCACCA
Molecule: transfer RNA, 91 nt
Filed under: Candidatus Peregrinibacteria bacterium RIFOXYA2_FULL_33_7
Lineage: Bacteria; Candidatus Peregrinibacteriota
Description: tRNA-Leu
Rfam family: tRNA
About the family: Transfer RNA (tRNA) molecules are approximately 80 nucleotides in length.
Source: RNAcentral